AACGAACGCUGGCGGCAUGCCUAACACAUGCAAGUCGAACGAGACCUUCGGGUCUAGUGUCGCACGGGUUCGUAACGCGUGGGAACCUUCCCUUAUGUUCGGAAUAACUCCCCGAAAGGGGUGCUAAUACCGGAUAAUGUCUUCGGACCAAAGAUUUAUCGCCUUUGGAUGUUCCCUCGUUGGAUUAGCUAGUUGGUAGGGUAAAAGCCUACCAAGGCGACGAUCCAUAACUGGUCUGAGAGGAUGAUCAGCCACACUGGGACUGAGAAACGGCCCAGACUCCUACGGGAGGAAGCAGUGGGGAAUAUUGGACAAUGGGGGAAAGCAUGAUCCAGCAAUGACGCGUGAGCGAUGAAGGCAUUAGGGUUGUAAAGCUCUUUUACCCGGGAUGAUAAUGACAGUACCGGGAGAAUAAGCUCCGGCUAACUCCGUG
This 433-nucleotide ribosomal RNA is filed under the name uncultured bacterium. RNAcentral describes it as "partial 16S ribosomal RNA". It matches the Rfam family "Bacterial small subunit ribosomal RNA", at positions 29 to 507 of the family's 1533-position model. The record is from RNAcentral.